This 918-nucleotide ribosomal RNA is filed under the name uncultured bacterium. RNAcentral describes it as "bacterial SSU rRNA". It matches the Rfam family "Bacterial small subunit ribosomal RNA", at positions 575 to 1504 of the family's 1533-position model. The record is from RNAcentral.
GUGGUUGAAAAAGUUGGUGGUGAAAUCCCAGAGCUUAACUCUGGAACUGCCAUCAAAACUUUUCAGCUAGAGUUUGAUAGAGGAAAGCAGAAUUUCUAGUGUAGAGGUGAAAUUCGUAGAUAUUAGAAAGAAUACCAAUUGCGAAGGCAGCUUUCUGGAUCAUUACUGACACUGAGGAACGAAAGCAUGGGUAGCGAAGAGGAUUAGAUACCCUCGUAGUCCAUGCCGUAAACGAUGUGUGUUAGACGUUGGAAAUUUAUUUUCAGUGUCGCAGCGAAAGCAAUAAACACACCGCCUGGGGAGUACGACCGCAAGGUUAAAACUCAAAUGAAUUGACGGGGACCCGCACAAGUAGUGGAGCAUGUGGUUUAAUUCGAAGAUACGCGCAGAACCUUACCAACACUUGACAUGUUCGUCGCGACUUUAAGAGAUUAAAGUUUUCGGUUCGGCCGGACGAAACACAGGUGCUGCAUGGCUGUCGUCAGCUCGUGUCGUGAGAUGUUGGGUUAAGUCCCGCAACGAGCGCAACCCUCACUUUUAGUUGCCAUCAUUUAGUUGGGCACUCUGAAAGAACUGCCAGUGAUAAGCUGGAGGAAGGUGGGGAUGACGUCAAGUCCUCAUGGCCCUUACGUGUUGGGCUACACACGUGCUACAAUGGUAUUUACAACAGGAAGCGAGACGGCGACGUUAAGCAAAUCCUUAAAAAAUACCUCAGUUCGGAUUGCACUCUGCAACUCGAGUGCAUGAAGCUGGAAUUACUAGUAAUCGUGGAUCAGCGUGCCACGGUGAAUGCGUUCCCGGGUCUUGUACACACCGCCCGUCACACCAUGGGAGUUGGUUCUACCUUAAGGCAAGGUUUAAUACCCUUGACCACGGUAUAGUCAGCGACUGGGGUGAAGUCAUAACAAGGUAGCCGUA